AUUGAACGCUGGCGGCAGGCCUAACACAUGCAAGUCGAACGGUAACAGGAAACAGCUUGCUGUUUCGCUGACGAGUGGCGGACGGGUGAGUAAUGUCUGGGAAACUGCCUGAUGGAGGGGGAUAACUACUGGAAACGGUAGCUAAUACCGCAUAACGUCGCAAGACCAAAGAGGGGGACCUUCGGGCCUCUUGCCAUCGGAUGUGCCCAGAUGGGAUUAGCUAGUAGGUGGGGUAACGGCUCACCUAGGCGACGAUCCCUAGCUGGUCUGAGAGGAUGACCAGCCACACUGGAACUGAGACACGGUCCAGACUCCUACGGGAGGCAGCAGUGGGGAAUAUUGCACAAUGGGCGCAAGCCUGAUGCAGCCAUGCCGCGUGGAUGAAGAAGGCCUUCGGGUUGUAAAGUACUUUCAGCGGGGAGGAAGGGAGUAAAGUUAAUACCUUUGCUCAUUGACGUUACCCGCAGAAGAAGCACCGGCUAACUCCGUG
This 490-nucleotide ribosomal RNA is filed under the name uncultured bacterium. RNAcentral describes it as "partial 16S ribosomal RNA". It matches the Rfam family "Bacterial small subunit ribosomal RNA", at positions 30 to 507 of the family's 1533-position model. The record is from RNAcentral.